This 519-nucleotide ribosomal RNA is filed under the name Fredericella indica. RNAcentral describes it as "partial 16S ribosomal RNA". It matches the Rfam family "Bacterial large subunit ribosomal RNA", at positions 1832 to 2601 of the family's 2925-position model. The record is from RNAcentral. Lineage: Eukaryota; Metazoa; Bryozoa; Phylactolaemata; Fredericellidae.
AGCCAUUCGAACUUACGGAUGGUAAAACCUGCCCAGUGGUAAAUCUUAACGGCUGCGGUAUUAUGACCGUACAAAGGUAGCAUAAUCACUUGUCCCUUAAUUAGGGACUGGAAUCAAUGGUAAAACAAGAGCUUAACUGUCUCAUCUUUAUACCUAAAAACUUACCUUCAAGUGAAAAGGCUUGAAUUUCCCAAGAGGACAAGAAGACCCUAUGGAGCUUUAGGUGCAAGGCCUACUACAUCUAAUAUUUCAUAAAAAGGUGAUAGGGCUCAAAACUUUGGUUGGGGCAACCGGGGUACAAGAAAACCACUCCUAAAAGAGUUACUGAUAUGUACUAAUAUAGAAAGAAAAGAUCCUUAAGUCAAGAUCAGGAGAAUAAGCUACCCUAGGGAUAACAGCGUAAUUCUUCCCAAGAGCCCUUAUCGAAGGAAGAGGUUGCGACCUCGAUGUUGGACUAGGGUAUCCUACAGGUGCAGAAGCUUGUAAAGGUAAGUCUGUUCGACUUUUAAAACCCUACAU